UACGGAGGGUGCGAGCGUUGUCCGGAAUCACUGGGCGUAAAGGGCGCGUAGGCGGCGCGGGCAGUCAACGGUGAAAGCUCGGGGCUCAACUCCGAGUCGGCCGUCGAUACUCCCGUGCUCGAGCACUGUAGAGGCAGGUGGAAUUCCGGGUGUAGCGGUGGAAUGCGUAGAGAUCCGGAAGAACACCGGUGGCGAAGGCGGCCUGCUGGGCAGUAGCUGACGCUGAGGCGCGAAAGCGUGGGGAGCGAACAGG
This 253-nucleotide ribosomal RNA is filed under the name uncultured bacterium. RNAcentral describes it as "partial 16S ribosomal RNA". It matches the Rfam family "Bacterial small subunit ribosomal RNA", at positions 524 to 776 of the family's 1533-position model. The record is from RNAcentral.